This 159-nucleotide ribosomal RNA is filed under the name Durinskia oculata. RNAcentral describes it as "5.8S ribosomal RNA". It matches the Rfam family "5.8S ribosomal RNA". Rfam says of the family: 5.8S ribosomal RNA (5.8S rRNA) is a component of the large subunit of the eukaryotic ribosome. Lineage: Eukaryota; Dinophyceae; Peridiniales; Kryptoperidiniaceae. The record is from RNAcentral.
ACAAUUUUCAGCGACGGAUACCUCGGCUCAAGCAACGAUGAAGGGCGCAGCGAAGUGUGUUAAGCUUUGUGAAUUGCAGAAUUCCGUGAGUCAAUGGGAUCCUGAAUGCAAAUUGCGCUUUCGGGAUAAGCCUGAAAGCUUACCUGCUUCAGUGUCUAU